UGCUGACAACUGCCUCCGAGAACUCAGC
Molecule: non-coding RNA, 28 nt
Filed under: Homo sapiens (human)
Lineage: Eukaryota; Metazoa; Chordata; Mammalia; Primates; Hominidae
Source: RNAcentral